Rhizophagus irregularis DAOM 197198w is the source of this 84-nucleotide transfer RNA. It matches the Rfam family "tRNA". Rfam says of the family: Transfer RNA (tRNA) molecules are approximately 80 nucleotides in length. Their secondary structure includes four short double-helical elements and three loops (D, anti-codon, and T loops). Further hydrogen bonds mediate the characteristic L-shaped molecular structure. tRNAs have two regions of fundamental functional importance: the anti-codon, which is responsible for specific mRNA codon recognition, and the 3' end, to which the tRNAs corresponding amino acid is attached (by aminoacyl-tRNA synthetases). tRNAs cope with the degeneracy of the genetic code in two manners: having more than one tRNA (with a specific anti-codon) for a particular amino acid; and 'wobble' base-pairing, i.e. permitting non-standard base-pairing at the 3rd anti-codon position. NCBI's taxonomy places the organism in Eukaryota, Fungi, Glomeromycota, Glomeromycetes, Glomerales, Glomeraceae. The record is from Rfam.
GCCUCCAUGGCGCAACCGGCUAGCGCGUUCGGCUGUUAUCCUACUGACACCGAAAGGUUCCUAGUUCGAAUCUAGGUGGGGGCG